This 451-nucleotide ribosomal RNA is filed under the name uncultured bacterium. RNAcentral's name for it is "bacterial SSU rRNA". It matches the Rfam family "Bacterial small subunit ribosomal RNA", at positions 354 to 796 of the family's 1533-position model. The record is from RNAcentral.
GUCGAGAAUCUUUCGCAAUGGGGGAAACCCUGACGAAGCGACGCCGCGUGCAGGAUGAAGGCCUUCGGGUUGUAAACUGCUGUCAGCUGGGAAGAAUAAGUUGUCGACGAAUAAUCGACAGCCUUGACGGUACCAGCAGAGGAAGCCACGGCUAACUCUGUGCCAGCAGCCGCGGUAAUACAGAGGUGGCGAGCGUUGUUCGGAUUUAUUGGGCGUAAAGGGUCCGUAGGCGGUUUGGAAAGUCGGGUGUGAAAUCCUACAGCUUAACUGUGGAACUGCACUCGAAACUUCCAGACUGGAGUGUGAGAGGGGUAAAGGGAAUUCCCGGUGUAAGGGUGAAAUCUGCAGAGAUCGGGAAGAACACCAGUCGCGAAGGCGCUUUACUGGCUCACUACUGACGCUCAGGGACGAAAGCUAGGGGAGCAAACGGGAUUAGAAACCCCAGUAGUCC